GAAAAACUAUCAGACAGCAGACAGCUGCAUUCAAGCUGCUGAAUUCAUGGAUGAAUCAUCUGGCACUAGAGAAGAAGACCAUCAAACAUCCACGUCAGCUGAUGGAGGUCCAAGAGUCUCACGGAACAACCAACCUACAGAGUGAAGACCUCGAAUCUGAUUGGACAGCCUCCUAUUCAGCCACAUUUUAGGCUGUUAGAUUGUUCCAGAUAAGACAAGUACAAGAUUCUUCAGAGCCGUUCUACCACGAGCCUGACAGGAAGAACUCCAACAGCUACUGAAUGUUCCUGUGGUUCCCUCAAGGCUACAGGAGGAGCCCUACGAGGACGAGCCGGUCCACCUGAUGGCGGCCAGUCGCUGCGGUUCAAAGCCAACACCGACUACGUGGACUUCUACUGGACCACAUGGAGGCCUUCAAACCGGACCAACAAGUUCACAGACUCCCUGACUCGUGGGUCUGAGGACGCCGCCGAGCCUCGGUCCAGCUGGCCUCCUGUCUGUGGAUGUUUGAGUGCUGAGAGGUUUGUGGAUGCAUGUGAACGUUCUGUGUUGAAACAGCAGCU
Amphiprion ocellaris (clown anemonefish) is the source of this 563-nucleotide long non-coding RNA. The record is from Ensembl. Lineage: Eukaryota; Metazoa; Chordata; Actinopteri; Pomacentridae.